This 606-nucleotide long non-coding RNA is filed under the name Setaria italica (foxtail millet). Its description in RNAcentral is "long non-coding RNA (SITA_LNC000319)". The record is from RNAcentral. Lineage: Eukaryota; Viridiplantae; Streptophyta; Magnoliopsida; Poales; Poaceae.
GGAAGAAUCAAGGAUUGAAAAGGGGUUCAUAGAGCUGAAUCACCUCUCAAUGGAAAUGAAAGAGGAUAGCAAGAUAAUUGCCCUCCAACAGGUGCUAGUCGUAACGAAAUGUCCUAAAACAGGUGCUAAUUAUUCACUACACCAACACAGGUAUUUAAAGCACGGCAAGCACAGAUUCACCAACACAGGUAUUUAAAGCACGGCAAGCGCAGAUUCAUGAACUGGCUUCUCGUGUCACAACUGACAAAGUAACCAUUGGAAAUAAAUCAAAGAAAUUUAGUUCAGCAUAAUUAUUCAGGAAUCCAACUGUUUCAUACAUCGAGAGUCAGUAUUGGAUGGGUUCCGACAGCAAAUCAAUUAACAAAUUGGUUGGUGGGGCUUCAUUUCAGGAAAACUGAUUGAGAAAACUUUCAUGACCAGAGGAAGUUCUUUUUUCCGUAUGCAGUAACUCUACCAGCAAGUAAUCAAGGGAAUUGAUCCACAAAAUAAAUGCACCAGAUUAGCUAUACCACACAUCAAUUCAAGUAUGGAACCCUAAAUUUUAGUAAAGCAUCAAAAACUGAAGCACAACAGAGCAAUGGUAGAUACUGAAAACUGGGAAGAACA